UACGACUACAUAUCAGGCAUAUCAAUAAGCGGAGGAAAAGAAACUAACUAGGAUUCCCUUAGUAACGGCGAGUGAAGCGGGAAGAGCUCAAAUUUGAAAUCUUCAAGGUUUUACCUUGACGAAUUGUAGUUUAAAGAAGUGUUUUCUGUUGAAGUUUUGGUAAAAGUUCUUUGGAAUAGGACAUCAUAGAGGGUGAGAAUCCCGUAUUUGACCAUUAUUUCCAGCUUUGUGAUACACUUUCAAAGAGUCGGAUUGUUUGGGAAUGCAGUCCAAGAUGGGUGGUAAAUUUCAUCUAAAGCUAAAUAUUGGCGAGAGACCGAUAGCGAACAAGUACCGUGAGGGAAAGAUGAAAAGAACUUUGAAAAGAGAGUUAAACAGUACGUGAAAUUGUCAAAAGGGAAGCGUUUGACACCAGUGUUGUUUUCACGAAAAUCAAUUAAAAAAAGUUGGAUUUUGUGUUGUAUUGACCUUAACAGCUUGCUUCACUCUUUUCCAGCUUUUUUUAAUGCACUUUUCGUUUAACAAGUCAACAUCAGUUUCUUUUGUUGUAAAAGGGUCAUUGGAAGGUGGCUUUCUCUUCGGAGAAAGUGUUUAUAGCCUUUGAUCUCUGCAAUCGGAGAGACUGAGGUCUGCAGCGUAGAUCCUUCGGGGUUAGAUACAUUUGUGCUAAGCUACAGCUUUUCAUAGACAACUUGUUGACUAUGUUUAGUCUUGUGACUUACCCGCUUAUGCUAUUUUACCUACGCUUAGGAUGUUGAGCGCAUGUCUCUCUCU
RNAcentral lists this ribosomal RNA (774 nucleotides) under uncultured Neocallimastigales. Its description in RNAcentral is "partial large subunit ribosomal RNA". It matches the Rfam family "Eukaryotic large subunit ribosomal RNA", at positions 24 to 616 of the family's 3401-position model. Lineage: Eukaryota; Fungi; Neocallimastigomycota; Neocallimastigomycetes; Neocallimastigales. The record is from RNAcentral.